GACAUUGGAUCCUUUUUGAAGCUGCUGACUAAGGAUAAGGUCAAAACUUUGUGUCUGCACAAACAGACAGCACUGCAACGGCCCUGGCUUCAUGUGUACUACAGUGCUUGGAAACUGUAGAACAGGGACAGAAGGCACACCCUCGAUUUGAAGUAUGAAUAGGAGGGCAUGCCCAAAGCAGAUCUGUCCCUUAACACCCUAAGCCUCGUGCGGUUUGUAGCCUUUCAUCCUGGCUCUGACUUCACGCUCGACUCGUCCAUCCAACCUCAGCGUCUGAUAAAUAUACCACUGAGGUUGCAAAGGGAUUAUUGUUACACAUCCAGCAUUCUUAACAAACUGAAACCAGGAGGUCUGCCUGCUGGGAAAUUGUUUUUACAAACAUACAGUAUUUUUCUUCAGCAGAUAUUCUCACUAUGUUUAAUUCAGUUGUCAGCAUGUUUUCCAUCAUUCCAUAUUUGUUUUGCACCUGUGUUUCAGCUCAUUCUUGCCUCCCUGACUGCUGCUCUCCUGGGCUUGACCCUCACCUUGACAUCUCUCUUGGUUCUAGAGGCCAACUGUAUGUCACGCAGUGUGGAAGCAGACAGCUGCUUGUACACUGUAAUGUUUUCCAGCAGAAGACUCACAGCUGAAGCGGCAGAGCUGACUGCUGUGUAAUUAUUUGUAAAAGUGCACUGAUAAGCAGGAGACUCAAAGCAACAGUAGUCUUCAGCUGAAGCCGUGUUCCCUGAGUCAGCACAUCCCAGCGACUGAACCUUGACUGCUUCUUCUGCCUGUUCAGUGCCUGCUUGUGUUAUUUUGACCUACACAAACUCUCUAAAGAGCAAAGAGGAGAAACUGAACUGUGAAUCAUUUUUCAACAACUGGCUGCAAAUAUAACAUAAUAUAAGUUAUUUUCUCCUGAUGAACA
Monopterus albus (swamp eel) is the source of this 907-nucleotide long non-coding RNA. RefSeq lists it as uncharacterized. The transcript has 4 exons. The record is from RefSeq and is a predicted model, not a curated record. NCBI's taxonomy places the organism in Eukaryota, Metazoa, Chordata, Actinopteri, Synbranchiformes, Synbranchidae.